GUGCCAGCAUCCGCGGUAAUACCGGCAGCCCGAGUGAUGGCCGAUUUUAUUGGGCCUAAAGCGUCCGUAGCUGGCUGCGCAAGUCCAUCGGAAAAUCUACCCGCUCAACGGGUGGGCGUCCGGUGGAAACUGCGUGGCUUGGGACCGGAAGGCGCGACGGGUACGUCCGGGGUAGGAGUGAAAUCCCGUAAUCCUGGACGGACCACCGGUGGCGAAAGCGCCUCAGGAAGACGGAUCCGACAGUGAGGGACGAAAGCUAGGGUCUCGAACCGGAUUAGAUACCCCGGUAGUCC
RNAcentral lists this ribosomal RNA (293 nucleotides) under uncultured prokaryote. RNAcentral describes it as "partial 16S ribosomal RNA". It matches the Rfam family "Archaeal small subunit ribosomal RNA", at positions 455 to 747 of the family's 1478-position model. The record is from RNAcentral.